UCAGACCAUUUUGCCUAUGCUUGCAGGUUCUAGUGUGCUGGUGUGAUGAACAGUGGCGCACGGUGUGUAUGGCCACUCAAUAGUCGACAAGGCACUCACUUGCUCAGGUGCGUAUGAGGCUGUUAGCCGAUAUUAGUAGAUUUCGAAGUGGCCAUUCAGUGGUCGUUUGAUACUAAGAUAAUGAUGUAUAUGAUGUUAUGGUGUAUUGGUGCAUGGGGCUGUUUGGUGGCCGACAUUUGUGAUUGCAGUUGCUGUUGGAGUGAGACCCUCGAUGCACCAAUGGUGUGUAUGUGUGGUCUCUAUGGGUCGGUGUUGGCAAGUUGGAAUAUGUGAGACUGGUUGGUUGUAUUGGAAGAUUAUAUGCGUGAGUGUAUUGACUGGUGGAUUAGUAUUGAAUUAGUGUGGUACUAGGGUCAAAAGUAUGGAAUGUUUUCACGUUCUGUGGUUGGUGGGUUGAGGUGGCAAACAGUUGAGGGUUAGGUAAAGGUAAAAAGAAGCCGAGUUUAUCAUUUGCUGGCAUAAAAUGAGGAAAAUAGAGUGAUAGCGGUAGUAAGUAAUGAUUGGAAUUAAAUGUGGGCAUGAGGAAGGUAUUGAGUGGGGAGAAAGUGUGGUUAGUAAGAAAGAGAAGAAUGGUGCUUAGAAUGAAGUAGAUAUAUAAUAUUGGGGAAGAAGUUUAGCUAAUUGUCAUUCUUUAGUUUUUAGUUCUAAAUUUUAUCUUACUAAGUUAUGUAUACUCAUUACUUUCAUUUUCAGAUACUUUGAGGCAGGAAUCAGAACCGAAAUGCUUAACAACUGAGCACCGAACCUAAAGGAAAUAAAAAAUUACUAUUCAAAUUGAGAUAUAAUAGUAUAACAAAAUAGUGGUAGAACUUUCGUGCGUUUAGUUAUGUUUGUAGAAUUAUUUUGAGCCUAGAAUUGUAUCUGUUGUAAUGAGA
This 935-nucleotide long non-coding RNA is filed under the name Carica papaya (papaya). RNAcentral's name for it is "long non-coding RNA (CPAP_LNC014865)". The record is from RNAcentral. Lineage: Eukaryota; Viridiplantae; Streptophyta; Magnoliopsida; Brassicales; Caricaceae.